UUGUAGAUAGUAUAAAGAAUUUUAUAUCAAAAUUUCAUCUGAUUUAAAUACUUCUACACCGUUAAACUUGAAAACGACAGAUAUCAACCAUUAAAAAUUAUUGAUUUUGAAUCUUUUCGAUCACUAAGUAAAUGAUAUCAAAAAAUCACAAAAAUUAUUUUCUAGAAACUUAAAAUACCCUAGAUCAAGUCUAACGGAGCCGAUCAUCAAUUCGAAAAUUCCAUCAUUGAAAACGGCUCAGGAGCACGGAGGCCUCCGUGCUCCUGAGAGCACAACAGCCCUGCUCUCUCUCUCUCUCUCUCUCUCUCUCUCUUGCUCUCUCUCUCUCUAUAUAUAUUACUAAAUUUACUCCCGUUGAUACGAUUAGUACUAAAAUUUUACAACUGUAAAA
This 391-nucleotide long non-coding RNA is filed under the name Ananas comosus (pineapple). Its description in RNAcentral is "long non-coding RNA (ACOM_LNC026750)". The record is from RNAcentral. Lineage: Eukaryota; Viridiplantae; Streptophyta; Magnoliopsida; Poales; Bromeliaceae.